UACGGAGGGUGCAAGCGUUGUUCGGAAUCAUUGGGCGUAAAGCGCGCGCAGGUGGCUGGCUAAGUCUGGUGUGAAAGCCCGGGGCUCAACCCCGGAACUGCAUUGGAAACUGGUCAGCUUGAGUUCGAGAGGGGUUAGUGGAAUUCCUGGUGUAGGGGUGAAAUCCGUAGAGAUCAGGAGGAACACCAGUGGCGAAGGCGACUGACUGGAUCGAUACUGACACUGAGGCGCGAAAGUGUGGGGAGCAAACAGG
RNAcentral lists this unclassified non-coding RNA (253 nucleotides) under uncultured Bradymonadales bacterium. RNAcentral describes it as "contains 16S-23S intergenic spacer region". It matches the Rfam family "Bacterial small subunit ribosomal RNA", at positions 524 to 776 of the family's 1533-position model. The record is from RNAcentral. Lineage: Bacteria; Deltaproteobacteria; Bradymonadales.